Molecule: long non-coding RNA, 445 nt
Organism: Mauremys reevesii (Reeves's turtle)
Lineage: Eukaryota; Metazoa; Chordata; Testudines; Geoemydidae
Exons: 3
Source: RefSeq, a predicted model, not a curated record
GGAGAGUGGAGAAGACACAGGGGAAGAACAUAGAGACCAGAGAUUUGAAAAUAAUUGCCUUAUCCCCAGGAAAGACGUUUUGUUAACUUGGAAGGGGACUGAACUUUAUGUGACUUGGCUAGAGGACCUAGCCAUGGAAGAUCCAGCGAGAAGCAGAUGAGGUGCUACAGAUGAGGACAUGAGAGGUGCUAUGGGUGGUGCCUAAAAUGCAAAUAACCUGUGAGGGCUGGGAAAGAAGUCUGACAAGCCAGGGCAUCCACUUGCAAGCCCUGGAUAGUUUACACAUCAUGGGACCAUCUAGAAAAGUGAACUGAGCAGAGACCUUUCAUGUUGGAAGAAAGGACUUGACUGCAGAUAGUUGGCUUCCAGUAACAGGAGCAGACACAUCCCUUUGGUUGCUUUUGAAGGGAUAAAAAGGCACACAGAGAACUCAUAGCCCACUGUU